Nycticebus coucang (slow loris) is the source of this 13399-nucleotide RNA transcript. It is a transcript of the gene named nitric oxide synthase 1 adaptor protein, with no coding region annotated. The record is from RefSeq and is a predicted model, not a curated record. The transcript has 12 exons. Lineage: Eukaryota; Metazoa; Chordata; Mammalia; Primates; Lorisidae.
UUUGAAUUUAAAGCCAAGAACAUCAAGAAGAAGAAAGUGAGCAUUAUGGUGUCAGUGGAUGGUGUGAAAGUGAUUCUGAAGAAGAAGAAAAAGCUUCUUUUAUUGCAGAAAAAGGAGUGGACGUGGGAUGAAAGCAAGAUGCUGGUGAUGCAGGACCCCAUCUACAGAAUCUUCUACGUCUCUCAUGAUUCCCAAGACUUGAAGAUCUUCAGCUAUAUUGCUCGAGAUGGUGCCAGCAACGUCUUUAGGUGUAACGUCUUUAAAUCCAAGAAGAAGAGCCAAGCCAUGCGGAUUGUCCGGACGGUGGGGCAGGCCUUUGAGGUCUGCCACAAGCUGAGCCUGCAGCAUACACAGCAGAAUGCAGAUGGCCAGGAAGACGGGGAGAGUGAGAGGAACAGCAACAGCUCGGGGGACCCAGGCCGCCAGCUCACCGGAGCAGAGAGGGCCUCCACAGCCACCGCGGAGGAGACGGACAUCGACGCAGUGGAUGUCCCACUCCCAGGGAAUGACAUCUUAGAAUUCAGCCGCGGGGUAACUGACCUGGACGCUGUAGGGAAGGAAGGAGGCUCCCACACGGGCUCCAAGGGCCCCCCGCAGCCCCAGGAGCCCGAGCUCACAGCCCCGCCCAGGACACUGCUUCCCUCUUCCUCCUCAAAGCCCCCAGGCUUGGGCACAGGGACGCCGCUGUCCACACACCACCAGAUGCAGCUCCUCCAGCAGCUCCUCCAGCAGCAGCAGCAGCAGACGCAAGUGGCUGUGGCCCAGGUUCACCUGCUGAAGGACCAGUUGGCUGCCGAGGCUGCCGCAAGGCUGGAGGCCCAGGCUCGCGUGCACCAGCUUCUGCUGCAGAACAAGGACAUGCUCCAACACAUCUCCCUGCUGGUCAAGCAGGUGCAGGAGCUGGAAUUGAAGCUGUCAGGACAGAAUGCCAUGGGCUCCCAGGACAGUUUGCUGGAGAUCACCUUCCGUUCCGGAGCCCUGCCGGUGCUCUGUGACCCCACGACCCCUAAGCCCGAGGACCUGCACUCGCCGCCCCUGGGCGCGGGCUUGGCUGACUUUGCGCACUCGGCGGGCAGCCCCUUAGUUGACCACAGCAUGUUUGAAAACUUGAAUGCAGCCCUCACUCCAAAGCUCCAGGCCAGCCGCUCCGUCCCUCACUUGUCCAGGCCUGCGGCCCCCAGCCCUGCAGAGGCUGGUGGGCCAGGACUCUGGGUGGGCAGCAGCCAGCACCUCAGGAACCUGGGCAAAGCCAUGGGGGCCAAAGUGAAUGACUUCCUGCGAAGAAAGGAGCCCUCUGGCCUGGGCGGUGUGGGUGUGAUGGAGAUCAACAAGACGGCAGGGGCCCAGCUGGCCAGUGGGGCAGAGGAGGCCUCAGGGGCCUGGCUGGAGGACGAGAGGUCAAUGCUGCAAGAAGCAUUUCCUCGGCUGGAUCCUCCACCCCCCAUCACCAGAAAGCGAACCCCUCGGGCCCUGAAGACCACUCAGGACAUGCUGAUUUCAUCACAACCUGUCCUAAGCAGUCUGGAGUAUGGGACAGAGCUGCCACCUGGGCAGCCCCAGGACUCACCUCCUGCUGUCCAGCCUGUCCCGGCAGAUUCUUCACAGCCAGAGGCCACUGUGGGAAUGGGAGAGAGGGGCGAGGCUGUACCCAAUGGAGAGGUUUCCCUGUCAGUACCUGACCUGAUCCAUAAGGACAGCCAGGAGGAAGCCAAGCUAAAGACGACUGAGCACAGAAGGGCUUCCUCCCCCGGCCUCAUCGAGAGGAAUGGCCUCAAACUCAGCUUGAGCACCGGCAACCUGCCUGAGUCCUGGGAGGAUGGCAGCUUCCCUCCUCGGGCACGGACCUCCAGCCCUGACAAUGAGGGCCCUCACCCAGACUUGCUGUCCUUUGAGUAGAGCUCUUCUCUCCCCAGCCUGGCACCAUCCUACUCCUGCCUCUGCCUUCUCCUCCCCUGCGCAUGCUGGCCCUUGUCCUAGCUCCACAAUGCCCUUGGUCUUCCUCAUACAAGACACCAGCAGAGGACCUGUCCUCCCAGUUAGAGUCUAUGUGCAGAAUGGUGAAAGGACUCAGUGCUAUCCUGAGCCUGAUUUUCUGUCAGCUCUUCUGGGCAUGGGCUAGAGCACUUCCACCCCUGAGUUUGUCCCACCUUCCCCCGGGUUGCUGCCAGCUCCCUGGCUUUCCUCUCCCUUCCAUGCCUUGGUUCCUUCUCUGUCUUCCCUGAUGGGCCCAGAGGCCCCUGCCUCGGGGAACAAGGCUGGACAAGGAAUGAUGGGUUUGGCUUGAUGGUGGGCCCUGGCCCAGAAAGCCACACACCCUGACCACAGCCCAGCCAUGGCUCCUUCUGGUCCCAAGACAGUGCUGGCCCCUGUUUGCCAUCUUUCCUCUGCCCUGGAGUGGGGGCCAGACGAGAUGCUUCCCAAACCUAAGACCUUGAGUGUUCACACGGGGUUUGAACCCUGUCAACCAGGGUUCCCAAGGUUUUCCCCCAGCUGUCAGAGGUAGAAUACAAAGUAAGUCUCCCUGCCUGUCUGGGAGUGGCACCUGGGAGAAUGUUGUGACCAGCUCCGUGCACAGAGGGAAAGAUGAGGCUUCCCUGGCCAUGUUUGUGAAGAAGUGGCCAGGGAUAUUCUGAUUUUGCCUUGGGGGGUGGUGGGCUUAGAACUCAGAGGUGGCUUUGACAGUCAGGGUUUGUCCUAAGAAAACCCGGAGCAGAGCAGUGGAGAAGAGUGUGAAGAUAGGACAGAACUGUUACUGGGGAUCGGAGCAGCUCCAGGGGCCGCUCUGCAGCCCAAGCGGUGCAGUUCCAGGCCUGGAUGCAGUACGUGUGUGAGCCGGGGACACCUGCGUGAGGUUGGAGUAUGAUGAGGACUGUGAGGCCAUGAAGUUUUUGUUAGAUGGGGGCACCUCGUGCUGAAGGCACUGGCCUCCUGCAGCCCUGCGCCUCCCUGGAGCAGGCCAGAGGCAGUCCUGCUCCUGCGAUUCCUGUGGCCUCCCCUUUUCUGUUCAUGGUUUUGCUUCCCACCCUUGAACUCUGCAACGCCCGGGGCUCGCAUCCCAGUUCAUCUCAUCACCAGGCCCCUGGCUCUCUCCUCGCCGCCUCUGCUGCACGGAUCAUCCACACUAAAAUUUCCUGGUCCAGCCUCCCUAUGGUGAGAACUCAGUGACGGCUUCCCAGAUGUUGGCCAGGGGCUUUGCCCAGUGGAGGUCCUUACAGAGCCAUUGGGACCAGCUCUCCUGAGACGCAAAUCCUCUUUGUCCAGCUUACCUCCAGCUGCUGCCAUGAUAAAUAGUCCAGCCCAAGGGGCCUGGGGAGGUGCCGCCGUGCAGAACGAGUCACUGCGUUUUUAAAACACAAGGAAGUGAGCUUGAGGAAAUAUUUAAGGACCACUCAAAUACCAGGCUGUGUUCUCUCCCAUGGGAGUUGCCUGAAGAAUCUUGUGAACAUUGCCAGUAAUUUUCCUUUGGAAUAGACCAAAACCAAAACAUAACCCAAGCAACUUCCUAACAAACUGAAAUUUUAUUUUAUUUUUGCUGUGUUUAACCAGCCAGCUGUUCCCAGUGCCGUGUGCUUCACCACCUUCUUCCUUAAGGCUUCCCUCCACGUGUGCCACCUUCUCCUGUUCAGGCUCGCGUAAGUCUGGAGUGUUCAGCUGUGUCUGAGGAUAUCUCACAGCAGCUUAGAGCAGCUCCUGCGAUCAUCCCGGGAGGAUCAUCCUGGGAGCUGAUAAGGGAGCAGCCUGGCCUUCCAAGAUGGAGGAGGAGAGUGAACUCAGCUGUCCCUGUGAAGGGCUUGUGGCUUCAGCAAAAUGCAUGAGCUCCCUCUUUAUCCUGAGCCCACAAGGAAUGGCCCCGGUGCUGGACAGGAGAGUUCAGAAUAAGUGUGGGCUGUUCCAUUGUAUCACUCCCUGGCCAUCUCCUGGCACCUGGGAAAUUCUGUUCCAGUCAACCCUCUUAGCUCACCUUGAAUCCUGGCUCCUGUGUGUCAAGUACUAUCCAUCUUGCAGCAGACCUGCAAGGCACGACAUGGUAGGGGCUGAUCUGGAGAGUUCAUCUGGGACGUGACUUCACAUGUAAUGAAGCCGUGGGGGGGGGGGGCUGAGGUCUGUGGCCCUGCCAGUGCCUGUCCACACCCCCUUAACAUCAGUCAGCCGCCAUGUAGGUGGCAUACACUGCAGCCAGGCUGGAAGGCUUGCUGUGAUGUGUGUAGGCAGGGUGUCAGGCAGGUUCUCCUUGCUCCAGGUUGCCUGUGGCUGGCAGGCACCAUCCUAGGCUCUGCUGCAGUGUCCCAGGACCCCCAACCUACUCAGAAUCACUUUCCUACCUUUGUCCCAGGCAGUCCCUCUGCCUGGUCACCCUGCUACCUUCCUUUCUCUUUUCUUUGACUUUGGCAGGCUAUGUUAAUCCAUCCUUCAAAUUUCAGCUCAGGCAUCCUUUCCUCCCGGAUGGCUUCCCCACAGCACCCCACCAAGCCUUUGGUCCCUCAUAGCAUCCUGUGUUCCUUCAUCCUGGCACCCACCACACACCCUGAGCUCAGGGGCAGGAACCAUGCCACCUUCCUCUCUGAGCUCUCAGCCCCCAACCUAGGGCCUGGCAUAUUGCUGGAGUUCAGAGAUGUGCUUUGAACAGAGCUGAACUAUAGUUUAACUUGUGUGGAACAGACCAGACUGAGCUCUCGCUGAGGUCUGGGGUAGACCAGCACUACUUCUCUCAGCCCACUUCCCCAUGGUCUCUCCCCACGGGCAGCCUCUGCACCCGAUUGUGGACGGCACAGAGAAGAACUGAGGGUGGCCAUUUUCAAAGUGGAAAAUGAUUAAUGGGUGAGCGUGUUGCUCACUUACCAGAGCCUUCAUUAAUUCUGUUCCCUGGACAGGUGCAGCUCCGUCUUGCCAUGUACCUGGCAGAAGCAAGCACGUCUGUCCAGCAAAAAGGGUCGGUCACGCGUCAGUCCCAGGCACCUGUCUAGCGGUGGGAGCUGCUUACACUGCUGAGUUCCAAUUCUUACUAUUUUAUAGUUCACAGUUUCAGAUGUUGCUGUUCAGGGGUGCUUUGCUGUGUCUGUGGGGCUUCUAUAUAAGCCAGAUAUUGUGUUAAUCAGUUCAUACACAUUAUCUGAAUUGUUUUUCUCAAUAAUCCUUCAAGGAAGGCCUUACUAAGCCUGUGUUCCAGAUACAGACGUAAUUCUACUGUGUUUAAAGAGAUUCACACACAUGCUCUUGGCAGUCCCCCCUCUCGUGAGGUAGAUAUUUCAGCCUGAUCUUAUAGAUGGGCACACUUAAAUGAGGUGACGAGUUAGCAGAGAAGGGCUCAGCAUUCAGACCUGAGUGCCGCCUCUCCCAAACACAGCAGUUUCCACCACAGCAGUCUGACAAUUCCAGGACGUGUUUAUGGCCCAGAAACACUUCUGAGUUGGACCUUCUCUAAGGAUAAGUGUAAUUUUAUUAAACACUGAAUAUUCACUUGGGAUAGGAAUUCAGAGACCCAUUCCCAAGUCCCUUCAUUUUAUAAAAGAAGAAACAACAAAGAUCCCGCUUUUAAACGUGUGAGCCUGUGCCAGCACCAUCCUAUCCAAUGCCCACGGUGACCCUCUGAGGUUAGAGUCAUCAUCCCAUUUUCUAGGUGAGGCUGACCAGAGGCUUAGGAAGCUUAGCAAUUUGCCUAUAGUCACUUUACCAGUGAGUGACAGAACUGACAUCUAGAAAACAUUCAUUCUUGAGGGUUUUAGUAAGAAUGUACUCUGAACUAAGAAUUUCAGCUGAGGUAGGAGUGGCCGGAGUACUUCUAGGGCAUUUUGAAUUGCAAAUUCAGGGAAGUUUCUCAUACACUAAUCCUGUUAGCAACAUUGGAGGGUAGGCCUUCAAUUGGAAGGUGAGUACCGUUUAGAGAAUCCCCGCUAAAAGAAUAUUUCAGAUUUUAUUGCUGCUGUGGUUACUCGACAGUACUUAAAAAAAAAAAAAAAAAAAAAAAUAGCAGUACUGGUUUUUUGAUGACUGUCUGACCCCUUGUGGCUGUAUUUAGGUACUGCAUUUCCCUUCUGCAAAAAAGAUUUUCAGGGAGAUGGGAGGGGAAGGAGUGGUUUGAUGGAGGGAGGGUGAAGGGUGAGACCACACCUAUGAAACACAUUGCAAAGGUACAAGUCAAAUCUAUCAAGUAUAGAACACAAAUGUCUUAACACAGUGAUUAACUGAAUGAGGUGAAAGCUGUGUUGAUUGGUUAGAUGUAAACACUCCGAUUUGUACAAAGAAUCAACACAUGGAAUCCCACACAGGCAUAAAUGUAUUCAUGAUCUAUGUAUAUAUGACUUGGUAAAAGGGGUGAAAAAGGAUUUUCAUGACAAAACUAACAUUAAUUUAUUAGAUAAAUAUCUCCAUUUCAAAAAGCAUAUUUUUCUGAAGAUCAUUCAACAAAUAGUAUGUUGGAGGGGUGCCUGUAGCUCAGUGGGUAGGGCGUCGGCCACAUACACCAAGGCUGGUGGGUUCAAACCUGGCCCAGGCCAGAUAAAAAAACAAUGACAACUGCAACAACAACAACAAAAAAAAUAGCUGGGCAUUGUGGCGGGUGCCUGUAGUCCCAACUACUUGGGAGGUUGAGGCAAGAGAAUUGUUUAAGCCCAAGAGUUUGAAGUUGCUGUGAGCUGUGAUUCCACAGCACUCUACCGAGGGUGACAUACUGAGACUAUUAAAAAGAAAAAAGUAUGUUGAAGAAAUAAAAGAUGACACUCCUUAGCUAGAUCUCCAGUAAGAGAGACAAAUAAAAGAAAUAUUUGAAAAAAGAACAAGAAUUCUCUAAAAGAAAGAUUGAAAUCCUGAGAAUAAAUUUGUACGAGGAGUUUCAAAUGGGAUAGAGAAUAAAAACUUACACUCUUUAUAGUGAAAUUUAGGAUUAUAAAUACCAUCUUUUAAAUUUCCAGAAAUAAAGAUCAGUUAUGAAGAAGAAUCAGAUUGAUAUUAGAUAUAUGAAUUAAAAAACUAUACGUGGAAUGAUAACAGCUUAAUUUUGUACAAAAUAUUGUUAACAAAAUUUUACAAUAGUGUUAAAGAAAGUUGACAUCACGUAGUUUGACAUCUGUACUAAAACAAGAACUAAAAGUAUAUGUUUGGGCUCAGUGCCUGUAGCUCAAGCAGCUAAGCUGCCGGCCACAUACACCAGAGCUGGUGGGUCUGAAUCCAGCCUGGGCCUGCCAAACAGCAAUGACAACUACAACCAAAAACUGGCUGGGCAUUGUGGCGGGCACCUGUAGUCCCAGCUACUUGGGAGGCUGAGGCAAGAGAAUCACUUAAGCGCAGGAGGUGGAGGUUGCUGUGAGCUGUGAUGCCAUUGCAUGCUACCCAGGGUAACAGCUUGAGCCUUUUUCUCAAAGUAAUAUGUUUGAAAACAAGACACUUUCAUGGGAAUUAAACAUACUUCGACCUGUACAGCGAUAAACAUUAUUGGUGUUAAAUGCAGCUAAAAUAGUAGUUUGAGCUAAAUUUAUAAUUUUAUGUUUAUUAGAAAAUAUUGAAAACAAGUCAUAAAAACACCAAAAUGAGACUAGAAGUCAAUGAAAUAAAGAAUAACAGUUUAAAAAGAAUAAUAAAAAAGAAUAACAAAACCAAAAGCUGGCCUUGAAAGACUAGUAAGAGGUAAAGACUAGUAAGAGGUAAAAUUGAUUAGUAAAAAAGAAUAAAAUGCAAAUAAACAUAGAAUGAGGAAGGAGCUAUGACUAUAAUUACCACAAAGCAUUAAUAAAAAAUAAACUAACAAUUAUUGAAAACUUAGAAAACAUGGAUAAGUUCCUAGGAUAACAAAAAAAGUAAAAAUUGGCAAAAUAACUGAAUAUACUGAUAAAUAUUAAUGUUUAAAUAGUGAUAAAAGACAACCCCUUCUUAUGAGUCUCAAACUCAUUUUUCUUUUUUUUUUUGUAGAGACAGAGUCUCACUGUACCGCCCUCGGGUAGAGUGCCGUGGCAUCACACAGCUCACAGCAACCUCUAACUCUUGGGCUUACGCGAUUCUCCUGCCUCAGCCUCCCGAGUAGCUGGGACUACAGGUGCCCGCCACAACGCCUGGCUAUUUUUUGGUUGUAGUUUGGCCGGGGCUGGGUUUUGAACCCGCCACCCUCGGCAUAUGGGGCUGGCGCCCUACUCACUGAGCCACAGGCACCGCCCUCAAACUCAUUUUUAUAAAAAAAAAUACUAUGUUAAAAAGUUUCAAGGCUGCCCAGGCACAGUGGCUCAUACCUGUAAUCCUAGCACUCUGGGAGGCUGAGGCAGGUGGAUUGCCUGAGCUCACAGGUUCAAGACCAGACUGAGCAAGAACAAGACUGCCUCUAAAAAUAGCCAGGCUUUGUGGCUAUAGUCCCAGCUACUCGGGAGGCUGAGGCAAGAUCACUUGAGCUCAAAAGUUUGAGGUUGCUGUGAGCUAUGAUGGCACAGCACUCAACCAAGAAUGACAAAGUGAGACUAUCUCAAAAAAAAAAAAAAAGUUUCAAAGAAUAGAUAAUCUUUAAAAAGUUGUAAAAAAUAGUGAAAAGAGAAAGACUUUAACCACACUUCAGUAAGUAAUAGUUCUACCGAACUAUUUGUGGAUUGGUGGGGAAAGAAGCAUAAUUGGAGCAGAUUGAGGAGAGAAUGGAAAUAUAUAGACCCUCCUGAGUUAUGUCCACUUAGAAGAAAGCAGUUGAACAUGGAAAAGAAGCAUCUUUAUUUUCUCUGCACCGGAGAAGAGACGAAUAAGUAUGAAUUAUCUUUAGAAAGAGGAGAUACCAUACCCAGUUCCCAUGAGAUAUUUGUGGUCUGAAGUGUGGGAAAUGCUGCUCAAUUUCUUGGAGGAAAAUCCGAAGUUAGCCCUAGAACUUUAAUCUUUUUUAUUGAUUCUGCCAAGUUGGAGGUUUUAGAGAAUAAAGUGAUUUAUGCCCCCCCCCCCAAAAAAAGUGUGAGCGAUUGUAAAUUGGUUUCAUAAUAGUACUGAGUACAGGGUGGCGCCUGUGGCUCAAGGCGUAGGGCGCCAGUCCCAUAUGCCAGAGGUGGUGGGUUCAAACCCAGCCCUGGCCAAAAACCACACACAAAAAAAGUACUGAGUACAUAGGAUAUUUUUUCUUCCAUUCUUGAGAUACUUUACUAGGAAGGAUAUGUUCCAGCUCCAUCCAUGUAAACGCAAAAGAGGUAAAAUCUCCAUCUUUUUUAAGGCUGCAAAAUAUUCCAUGGUGUACAUAUACCAUAAUUUAUUAAUCCAUUCGUGGGUCAAUGGGCACUUGGGCUUCUUCCAAGACUUGGCUAUUAUGAAUUGAGCUGCAAUGAACAAUCUGGUGCAAAUAUCUUUGUUAUGAAGUGAUUUUUGGUCUUUUGGAUAUACACCUAGUAGAGGAAUUGCAGGAUCAAAUGGCAGGUCUACUUUUAGAUCCCUGAGUAGUCUCCGUAUUUCUUUCCAAAAGGGACAUAUUAGCUUACACUCCCACCAGCAGUGCAGAAGUGCUCCCUUUUCUCCACAUCCAUGCCACCGUGAGUAGUUGUGGGAUUUUUGUUACGUGAGCCAGCUUACAGGAGUUAGAUGAUAUCUCAAAUUGGUUUUGAUUUGCAUUUCUCUGAUGAUUAAAGAUGAGUAUUUUUUCAUGUGUCUGUAGGUCAUGCACCUAUCUUCUGCAGAGAAGCUUCUGUUCAAGUCCCUUGCCCAUGAUGAAAUGGGAUUACUUGUUCUUUUCUUAUUAAUAAGUUUGGGUUCUCUGUGGAUUCUGGUUAUCAAACCUUUGUCAGAAGCAUAACCUGCAAAUACCCUCUCCCAUUCUGAGGGCUGUCUGCUUGCUUUACUUACUGUGUUCUUAGCUGGCCUUUUAAUUUGAUCAGAUCCCAGUAAUGUAUGUUUGGUGUUGCUUCAAUUGACUGGGGGGGGGGUCCUCCUCAUAAAGUAUUCUCCCAGGCCAAUUUCUUCAAGUAUUUCUCCUGCACUCUCUCCAAGAAUCUUUAUAGUUUCAUGUCUUAAAUGUAAAUCUUUUAUCCAGUGAGAGUCAAUUUUUGUUAAUGAUGAAAAGUGUGGGUCCAGUUUCAGUCUUCUACAAGUCACCAGCCAAUUCUUCCAGCACCAUUUGUUAAAUAGGGAAUCUUUCCCCCAAUUUAUAUUCUUGAUAGGCUUAUCAAAGAUCAAAUGACUAUAAGUGUCUGCAUUCAUCUCUUGGUUCUCAAUUCCGUUCCAUACAUCUACCUAUUUUUGUGUCAAUACCAUGCUGUUUUGAUCACUAUAGAUUUAUAGUAUAGUUUGAAGUCUGGUAGCAUGAUUCCUCCUGAUUUGUUUUUAUUUCUGAGUAAUGUCUUGGUUUUUUCUGGUUCCAUAUAAAACGAAGUACAAUUUUUUCAAGAUCUUUAAAAUAUGACGGUGGUGCUUUGAUAGGGAUUGCAUUAAAUUUGUAAAUUGCUUUGGGUAAUAUGGACAUUUUAACAAUGUUGAUUCUUCCCAGCCAAGAGCAUAGUAUGUUUUUCCAUUUGUUAACAUCUUCAGCUAUUUCUUUUCUCAAAGUUUCAUAAUUCUCUUUAUAGAGAUCUUUCACAUCCUUUGUCAGGUAAAUUCCCAAAUAUUUCAUCUUCUUUGGCACAACUGUAAAGGGAAUAGAGUCCUUGACUGUUUUUUCAGCUGAACUAUAUUAUUGGUACAUAUAAAAGCUACUGAUUUGUGAGUACUGAUUUUGUAUCCUGAUACGCUACUGUAUUCCUUUAUCACUUAUAAGAGUUUCGUGGUUGAGUCCCUGGGGCUUUCCAGAUAUACAAUCAUAUCAUCUGUGAAGAGGAAAGUUUGUUUUCCUCUUAUUCUAUUUGUAUACCCUUGAUCGCCUUCUCUUGCCUGAUUAUGAUGGCUAAGUCUUCCAUCACAAUGUUAAGAAGCAGUGGAGACAAUGGGCAUCCUUGCCUGGUUCCUGAUCUGAGUGGAAAUGUUUUCAAUUUUACUCUAUUCAAUAUGAUAUUGGCUGUGGGUUUGCUGUAGAUGGCCUCUGUCAGUUUAAGAAAAGUCCCUUAUAGAUCUAUUUUCUUAAGUGUUCUGAUCAUGAAAGGAUCCUGGAUAUUGGCAAAAGCUUUUUCUGCAUCUAUUGAGAGAACCAUAUGGUCUUUGUUUUUUAGUUUAUUUAUGUGAUGUAUUAUAUUUAUAGAUUUAUGUAUAUUGAACCAAUCUUGAGACUAUGUAUAUUAUACCAAUCUUGAGACCCUGGGAUAAAACCCAUUUGGUCAUGGUGUAUAAUUCUUUUGAUGUAUUGCUGGAUUCUGAUUGCUAGGAUCUUAUUGAAUAUUUUUGCAUUUAUAUUCAUUGAAGAUAUUGGUCUAUAGUUUUCUUUUUUUGUUGGGUCUUUUCCUGUUUGAGGGAUCAAGGUGAUAUUUGCUUCAUAAAAUGUGUUGGGAAGUAGUCUUUCUUUUCUGAUGUUUUGGAAAAUGUUAAGUAAUGUAGGUACUAGUUCCUCUUUAAAGGUUUGGUAGAAUUCUGAUGUGAAGCCAUCUGGUCCUGGACUUUUCUUUUUUGGGAGAUUUCCUAUAGUUGAUUCUAUUUCAGUACUCAAUAUAGGUCUGUUCAGCAUUUCCAAUUCUUUCUGACUAAGUCUAAGAAGUUGGCAUGCUUCCAAAUAUUCAUCAGUUUCUUUCAGAUUUUCAUAUUUCUGAGAAUGAAGUUUUUGUAGUAUUCAUUAAGGGUUUUUUGAAUUUUCUUUGAGAAAAAGAACCUUUGGGGUGUCUGUUGUUAUUUUUCCUUUGUCAUUUCUGAUUGAUAUUAUUGACUUUAAUUUUCUGUUUUUGGUUAGGUUGGCCAAAGGUUUAUCAAUCUUGUUGAAUUUUUCAAGAAACAACUUUUUGAUUCAUCGAUCUUUUGAAUAAUUCUUUUGUUUUUGAUUUCAUUUAAUUCUGCUCUAAUUUUAGUUAUUUCUUUUCUUCUGCUGGGUUUGGGGUUGGAGCCAGAGAACAGUCACCAGUCAUGGGCCACAUGGGUCACAGGAGCUAGGUGGGAGUCUCCUGCAUGGGCCACAGGUUGAAGCCAGCAGGAGUCGCUGGCCAUGGGCCGUGGGUUGCAGGGGCCAGGUGGAAGUUGCUGGCUGCGGGCUGCGGGUCUCAGAAGCCGGGCAGGAGUUGCUGGCCAUGACCCACAUGGGUCACAGGAACUGGGAGGGAGUUGCCAGCUGCAAGCCACAGGUUGCAGGAGCCAGGCGGGAGUUCCCUGCCAGGGGUCACUGGUGGCAGGAGCCCAGAGGGGAGCUGAGCCACCCACCACGUUCUGUCGAGCCGGGACCCAGUGGGCUGUAGUCCCCAGUGGUCCUGGUCAGUAGUGUGGUUACCAAGCAAUGCUCUUUCCAGCAGGGCCAAGUCUUUCUCCUCUUGUGACUCCCCACCUCUAUUAAAGUUACAGUUUCAGUGCAACUGUCCUACAGCUCAUGAGGUGCCCUGCCCUAGCAAAAGUCUGCCAAAUGCUCUGGAUUUUGUUGGGGGUAGUCUUCCAGACUGCUAGGAGAGGUGGGAGGGGUGGAUUGGGAGUUAAAGAAGGUAGGGAGAAUACCAGAUCAACUUUUGGCACAGUCAAGAGACUGCCUGGGCUUGCAGAAGUAUCUCUCCAUGGAGGGAGUCCCAGCCUUCAGUGUUCUCUCCCGUUUGGUAAAACAAAAGGUCCUCUGUUCUCUACUCACCUCAAGCGGCUCUCCUGGGUUGGGGGGAAGGGGAAGGAUUUCCGUCCUCUUUGGGAUGGGUGUUGUACCUGAAAAUUGUUUCCUUUGAGUCCCAGCUUGUUGCAGCAGGGGUAAUGUGAACCUAUUGAUCUUCUCUCUCAGCUCAGCUCCCGAUCCUCUGCUUUAUUGGGUUAUUUCUGGCCGUUAUUUCUCCUUCUGGAUAGGAGCCUCUGCUGAAAGCUGGCUUCAGUUGGCCAUCUUGCCUCCUUCUUGAGUGUUCUGUGCUUCACUUCUCAUCACACCUGGGCAGGGUGCACAGCCCCCAGGUGUGCGGGAACCCAAGAGCAGGCCACCAGGAUGGGAACAAGCUUCAGCCCUGUGGACCUUAUUCCUUGGCAGCCCAGUCUCCCUCACGGGCAGAGGCAGCCAACAGCUCCUUCCUGCCUUGCUGCCCCGCUCCUGGAGCCAGUCCCUGGCUUGCUAAACCAGCUGUGGGAAGCGCACCCCUUAGGGGCAGAGCAAGGCCAUGGUUCCUGGUGCGUCCCUGCUUCCUCGCCUCUGCCCCCAGAGCUCCUCUGCCCCAGCUCCUGAUUUAUGAAUUUUAAUGCAAAAAUCUAAAGCAUUAACUUACUAAAUAAUACAAGUUUAACAAUGCAAAGAUGGUACAAUGUCAGCAAUUUUAUUAAUGUAACUUAUCACUUUAACAGAGUGAAGAUAAAAGUAAUGUGCCUAUCUCAAAAGAUGCAAGAAAAAACAUAAUAAAUUUUAAAACAUUUCUAAUAAAAAUUCUCAAAUAGC